AUUGAACGCUGGCGGCAUGCUUUACACAUGCAAGUCGAACGGUAACAGGCCGCAAGGUGCUGACGAGUGGCGGACGGGGGCGGAAUGCAACGGAACGUGCCCAGUCGUGGGGGAUAACUACUCGAAAGAGGAGCUAAUACCGCAUACGAUCUAUGGAUGAAAGCGGGGGGGCGCAAGGCCUCGAGCGGUUGGAGCGGCCGAUGUCAGAUUAGGUAGUUGGUGGGGUAAAGGCUCACCAAGCCAACGAUCUGUAGCCGGCCUGAGAGGACGACCAGCCACACUGGGACUGAGACACGGCCCAGACUCCUACGGGAGGCAGCAGUGGGGAAUUUUGGACAAUGGGCGCAAGCCUGAUCCAGCAAUGCCGCGUGCAGGAAGAAGGCCUUCGGGUUGUAAACUGCUUUUGUACGGAACGAAACGGCUCUGGUUAAUACCCGGGGCUAAUGACGGUACCGUAAGAAUAAGCACCGGCUAACUACGUG
RNAcentral lists this ribosomal RNA (482 nucleotides) under uncultured bacterium. Its description in RNAcentral is "partial 16S ribosomal RNA". It matches the Rfam family "Bacterial small subunit ribosomal RNA", at positions 29 to 507 of the family's 1533-position model. The record is from RNAcentral.